AUCAGUGAGCGGAGGAAGCUUCCGUGGGUCCGCCUGCGGAUUGGCCUACAUUCAAACCCUUUGCAGUUGCAAUCAGCGUCUGAAAAAACAUAAUAGUUACAACUUUCAACAACGGAUCUCUUGGUUCUGGCAUCGAUGAAGAACGCAGCGAAAUGCGAUAAGUAGUGUGAAUUGCAGAAUUCAGUGAAUCAUCGAAUCUUUGAACGCACAUUGCGCCCCUUGGUAUUCCAUGGGGCAUGCCUGUUCGAGCGUCAUUUGUACCUUCAAGCUCUGCUUGGUGUUGGGUGUUUGUCUCGCCUCUGCGUGUAGACUCGCCUUAAAACAAUUGGCAGCCGGCGUAUUGAUUUCGGAGCGCAGUACAUCUCGCGCUUUGCACUCACAACGACGACGUCCAAAAGUACAUUUUUACACUCUUGACCUCGGAUCAGGUAGGGAUACCCGCUGAACUUAAGCAUAUCAAUAAGCCGGAGGAAGUCUCGGUAGGCUCAUCCUUAGAACAUCGGUAGGAAAAAAGGGAAUG
Molecule: ribosomal RNA, 520 nt
Filed under: Epicoccum nigrum
Lineage: Eukaryota; Fungi; Ascomycota; Dothideomycetes; Pleosporales; Didymellaceae
Description: eukaryotic LSU rRNA
Rfam family: 5.8S ribosomal RNA (bases 101-254)
Source: RNAcentral